Molecule: transfer RNA, 85 nt
Filed under: Felis catus (domestic cat)
Lineage: Eukaryota; Metazoa; Chordata; Mammalia; Carnivora; Felidae
Rfam family: tRNA
About the family: Transfer RNA (tRNA) molecules are approximately 80 nucleotides in length. Their secondary structure includes four short double-helical elements and three loops (D, anti-codon, and T loops).
Source: Rfam by way of RNAcentral
GCCUAGGUGGCUCAGUUGGUUGAGCGUCUAACUUCGGCUCAGGUCAUGAUCUCACAGCUCGUGAGUUCAAGCCCCGCAUUAGGCU